This 2323-nucleotide ribosomal RNA is filed under the name Salmonella enterica subsp. enterica serovar Johannesburg. RNAcentral describes it as "partial 23S ribosomal RNA". It matches the Rfam family "Bacterial large subunit ribosomal RNA", at positions 636 to 2925 of the family's 2925-position model. Lineage: Bacteria; Pseudomonadati; Pseudomonadota; Gammaproteobacteria; Enterobacterales; Enterobacteriaceae. The record is from RNAcentral.
UGUAGCAAGGUUAACCGAAUAGGGGAGCCGGAGGGAAACCGAGUCUUAACCGGGCGUUAAGUUGCAGGGUAUAGACCCGAAACCCGGUGAUCUAGCCAUGGGCAGGUUGAAGGUUGGGUAACACUAACUGGAGGACCGAACCGACUAAUGUUGAAAAAUUAGCGGAUGACCUGUGGCUGGGGGUGAAAGGCCAAUCAAACCGGGAGAUAGCUGGUUCUCCCCGAAAGCUAUUUAGGUAGCGCCUCGUGAAUUCAUCUCCGGGGGUAGAGCACUGUUUCGGCUAGGGGGCCAUCCCGGCUUACCAACCCGAUGCAAACUGCGAAUACCGGAGAAUGUUAUCACGGGAGACACACGGCGGGUGCUAACGUCCGUCGUGAAGAGGGAAACAACCCAGACCGCCAGCUAAGGUCCCAAAGUCAUGGUUAAGUGGGAAACGAUGUGGGAAGGCCCAGACAGCCAGGAUGUUGGCUUAGAAGCAGCCAUCAUUUAAAGAAAGCGUAAUAGCUCACUGGUCGAGUCGGCCUGCGCGGAAGAUGUAACGGGGCUAAACCAUGCACCGAAGCUGCGGCAGCGACGCUGAUGCGUUGUUGGGUAGGGGAGCGUUCUGUAAGCCUGCGAAGGUGUGUCGUGAGGCAUGCUGGAGGUAUCAGAAGUGCGAAUGCUGACAUAAGUAACGAUAAAGCGGGUGAAAAGCCCGCUCGCCGGAAGACCAAGGGUUCCUGUCCAACGUUAAUCGGGGCAGGGUGAGUCGACCCCUAAGGCGAGGCCGAAAGGCGUAGUCGAUGGGAAACGGGUUAAUAUUCCCGUACUUGGUGUUACUGCGAAGGGGGGACGGAGAAGGCUAUGUUGGCCGGGCGACGGUUGUCCCGGUUUAAGCGUGUAGGUGUGUGUUCCAGGUAAAUCCGGUUCACUUUAACACUGAGGCGUGAUGACGAGGCACUACGGUGCUGAAGCAACAAAUGCCCUGCUUCCAGGAAAAGCCUCUAAGCAUCAGGUAACAUCAAAUCGUACCCCAAACCGACACAGGUGGUCAGGUAGAGAAUACCAAGGCGCUUGAGAGAACUCGGGUGAAGGAACUAGGCAAAAUGGUGCCGUAACUUCGGGAGAAGGCACGCUGACACGUAGGUGAAGUGAUUUACUCAUGGAGCUGAAGUCAGUCGAAGAUACCAGCUGGCUGCAACUGUUUAUUAAAAACACAGCACUGUGCAAACACGAAAGUGGACGUAUACGGUGUGACGCCUGCCCGGUGCCGGAAGGUUAAUUGAUGGGGUCAGCGCAAGCGAAGCUCCUGAUCGAAGCCCCGGUAAACGGCGGCCGUAACUAUAACGGUCCUAAGGUAGCGAAAUUCCUUGUCGGGUAAGUUCCGACCUGCACGAAUGGCGUAAUGAUGGCCAGGCUGUCUCCACCCGAGACUCAGUGAAAUUGAACUCGCUGUGAAGAUGCAGUGUACCCGCGGCAAGACGGAAAGACCCCGUGAACCUUUACUAUAGCUUGACACUGAACAUUGAGCCUUGAUGUGUAGGAUAGGUGGGAGGCUUUGAAGUGUGGACGCCAGUCUGCAUGGAGCCGGCCUUGAAAUACCACCCUUUAAUGUUUGAUGUUCUAACGUGGACCCGUGAUCCGGGUUGCGGACAGUGUCUGGUGGGUAGUUUGACUGGGGCGGUCUCCUCCUAAAGAGUAACGGAGGAGCACGAAGGUUGGCUAAUCCUGGUCGGACAUCAGGAGGUUAGUGCAAUGGCAUAAGCCAGCUUGACUGCGAGCGUGACGGCGCGAGCAGGUGCGAAAGCAGGUCAUAGUGAUCCGGUGGUUCUGAAUGGAAGGGCCAUCGCUCAACGGAUAAAAGGUACUCCGGGGAUAACAGGCUGAUACCGCCCAAGAGUUCAUAUCGACGGCGGUGUUUGGCACCUCGAUGUCGGCUCAUCACAUCCUGGGGCUGAAGUAGGUCCCAAGGGUAUGGCUGUUCGCCAUUUAAAGUGGUACGCGAGCUGGGUUUAGAACGUCGUGAGACAGUUCGGUCCCUAUCUGCCGUGGGCGCUGGAGAACUGAGGGGGGCUGCUCCUAGUACGAGAGGACCGGAGUGGACGCAUCACUGGUGUUCGGGUUGUCAUGCCAAUGGCACUGCCCGGUAGCUAAAUGCGGAAGAGAUAAGUGCUGAAAGCAUCUAAGCACGAAACUUGCCCCGAGAUGAGUUCUCCCUGAGACUUAGAGUCUCCUGAAGGAACGUUGAAGACGACGACGUUGAUAGGCCGGGUGUGUAAGCGCAGCGAUGCGUUGAGCUAACCGGUACUAAUGAACCGUGAGGCUUAACCUUACAACGCCGAAG